RNAcentral lists this long non-coding RNA (729 nucleotides) under Sus scrofa (pig). RNAcentral's name for it is "lncRNA (ENSSSCG00070016866.1)". Lineage: Eukaryota; Metazoa; Chordata; Mammalia; Artiodactyla; Suidae. The record is from RNAcentral.
AGGUAGUGUGUUAAUGAGCUAUCUCUUGAAUUUGUCCAUUGAUCGUGUCUCAGAAAUAUUUUCUCAUUGUUUCAUCACACUGAAACUUUGGCCAAGAAAUGUUUAAAAUUCAAAGCAUUGAUAUCAAUUUCCCCCCCCUUUUUUUUUAAAGGCAACUUACAAGAUUAAAAUUAAAUUUGGUUGAUGAUGGUUCUGGACAAAUACAGCUCUUUUAUUUGAGGUAUGCCAUUUUGAAGACAGACCCGUGGAAUUUUAUCCUUGAGGAUAGGGGAAAUCUUUGUGAAAGUCUGUAUUUUAUAAAGCAACAAUAUGAAUCCUGAGGCUGAAUUGUCUAAGGGGCCUGUACAGCGAAAUAGAUCACCCAGUCAGCUUGAAGAGUCUCAAAUGGACCCUACAACUGAGAAAUCAAGAUGGCAGUCCACUAUGGGAAAUGAGAAAAAUGGACUAAUGCAAGAGUGCUGUGAUAAUAACAACCAAGACAGGGUUCUUUUAACAUGGAUUUCAUGAAUGAAGAUAUAGGUUUCUUAACCAACACAAUGGACAGUGGAUUUGACUUUGGAAAGACUUUUUGUAUCAUAAAAACAAGAACAUUUUUGACAUUUGGAGAAGAAAGAUGACACAUUAACAGAUGAUAGUUUGUAUGUCUGGAAUUUUUUGGUUUGAUUUGUAUGAGAAUGACCUUGUGGAAUGUUAACUUUAAUAAAAUUUCUAACAGUUUAAAAUUUCUCA